This 548-nucleotide ribosomal RNA is filed under the name uncultured archaeon. RNAcentral's name for it is "bacterial SSU rRNA". It matches the Rfam family "Archaeal small subunit ribosomal RNA", at positions 876 to 1429 of the family's 1478-position model. The record is from RNAcentral.
GCACCACAAGAGGUGGGACCUGCGGUUCAAUUGGAUUCAACGCCGGAAAACCCACCAGGGGCGACAGUUGGAUGAAAGCCAGGUUGACGACCUUGCCCGACUAGCUGAGAGGUGGUGCAUGGCCAUCGUCAGCUCGUACCGUGAGGCGUCCUGUCAAGUCAGGCAACGAGCGAGAUCCUCGCCCUUAGUUGCCAUCGGUGGAAAAGCCGGGCACUCUAGGGGGACCGCUGGCGCUAAGUCAGAGGAAGGAGAGGGCGACGGUAGGUCAGUAUGCCCCGAAUCCCCCGGGCUACACGCGGGUCACAAUGCGCAGGACAAAGAGAUGCAACCCCGUGAGGGGAAGCCAAACCCAUAAACCUGCGCUCGGUUCGGAUCGAGGGCUGUAACUCGCCCUCGUGAAGCUGGAAUCUCUAGUAAUCGCGUGCCAACACCGCGCGGUGAAUGCGUCCCUGCUCCUUGCACACACCGCCCGUCAAGCCACUCGAGUGGGGUUUGGAUGAGGUCAGCUCAAGUUGGGUCGCUCGAAUCCGAGUUCUGCAAGAGGGGCU